CCUAGUCUGAUAUUUGCUACAUACUGUACUUAGUGUUAUAUAAGUAUUACAUAAAUGAAUGCUUGUGUGAAUGUAGUAAGACUUCUAUUUCCAGUGACCCUGUCACUGAAGCUAAGCGUAAGAGCAAGUACUAUUUGUAGUACAGAGCAAAGAGGAACCCUGAGAGCCAAAGUGGGUUUCAGGAGCAGAUGACCUCCCAGCCUGUUACCAGGAACUGAGAGAAAGGAAGGUAGUGAAUGGGUCUCGUGUAUGCCAGGUCAAGAGUGCCAGUCAACUUAACUUGCUAGAUUUGGUCAGUAGGGUUGCAGGAUCCUGCUGUGAGCUUCUCUUGUAAACAAGCUCUAAUUCGAGUCCUAAGGCCCAGGAACAAACGGAGACAUGUGACAUUGCCCUCUUCUCCUCGAAGCAACACUCCAAUGGGUAAUGGGAGGUCUGGGUUUAGUUUGAGUCAGGGAUUGAGGGGUGGGGGAACAUAGCACUAGGAUAUAUUGCUCAUGUCAACCAAGGACCUAAAGCCUUUUGUUUUCCUAAUUUUUUACUCUAGUAUUCAUCAAAGAAUUUAAGAUGGCAUGUAAAAAUGGUACAGAAAAAUCAAGCCAAGGGUACAGAAAAAUCUAUCACAAGGUCCCGCAUGAUUAUUAAGGAAAGAUCUUUUUUUUUUUUUUUUUAAGGAAAGAUCUUAAUAACAACAGUUACAAAAAUCACAAUGACCAAACACAAAAUGUAUGUGUUAUUUCUGGAAAAAAAAUACUUUGCCUAAAAAAAAACUUCAUUAAGGAUCCAUUUGGUUGCCUAAGGACAUGAAUCCUGAAUAAACUUACCUACUUCUAAGUGUACAGCAGAUGUCACAGACUCUUCAUGAUACAUUUGAUCAAGGGCAUAACAUUUUACAUUUUAGUAAAAGCAGUUCUAUUAUAUAAUGCGCUGGUUACUUGAUUCAAAAGUUGGGUAUCAGUGAGGCCAUGGAUAUGUUAAUUAGCUUGUUUGUAGUUAUCAUUCACAAUGUGUAUAUAUCUUGAAACAUUCACGUUAAAUAUAAAUGAUUUUGUCAUUUAUAAAGUUAAAAAAUGAAAUAAGUCAUUACAUAUUUUUAAAUAUUCUAAGUUACAUUAUAAAGAGC
Molecule: long non-coding RNA, 1120 nt
Filed under: Heterocephalus glaber (naked mole-rat)
Lineage: Eukaryota; Metazoa; Chordata; Mammalia; Rodentia; Bathyergidae
Description: lncRNA (ENSHGLG00100041770.1)
Source: RNAcentral